Long non-coding RNA from Bombina bombina (fire-bellied toad), 425 nucleotides. RefSeq lists it as uncharacterized. NCBI's taxonomy places the organism in Eukaryota, Metazoa, Chordata, Amphibia, Anura, Bombinatoridae. The record is from RefSeq and is a predicted model, not a curated record. The transcript is spliced from 3 exons.
CUUUCACAGAGCUCUGCUUCCUCAUGCUGUGACGUCAUCAGCCAGCUGCUACUGAGCUUCCCUGCUCCCUCUGGCAAGUCGCCAUUACAACCCGGUGUUUGCAACUAUCAUUAUAACAGUUCUGUUAGCGUUGUGCCUGACAUAAUACUAAGCCAAAACUAUGGACCCAGCUGGAAUGAACGCACAUGUGCAAAAUAUCACACAGAGGGUUGAUUUAUUAACUGAAGCUGUUAAUACUUUGAAAACAGAAAAUGAUACUGUGCUUCAGACAAACACACUGUCAGGGACUGUCCUUCCCUCCUGAAACAAAACAAGGUGGGAGUCACAUCGAAUCAACGCUCCCGCGAUUAUUGACUCAGGAGCUACAGCCUCCUACAUAGAUACUGUAUUCACUAAAUUCAAUAAAAUUCCACUUGUGCAAAAAA